ACCUGGCUGGCUCAGUUGGUAGAGCAUGUGACUCUUGAUUUCAGGGUUGUGAGUUCAAGCCUCAUGUUGGAUA
This 73-nucleotide transfer RNA is filed under the name Canis lupus familiaris (dog). RNAcentral's name for it is "tRNA-Lys (CTT) (tRNA-Lys-CTT-33-1)". It matches the Rfam family "tRNA". From Rfam's summary of the family: Transfer RNA (tRNA) molecules are approximately 80 nucleotides in length. Their secondary structure includes four short double-helical elements and three loops (D, anti-codon, and T loops). Further hydrogen bonds mediate the characteristic L-shaped molecular structure. tRNAs have two regions of fundamental functional importance: the anti-codon, which is responsible for specific mRNA codon recognition, and the 3' end, to which the tRNAs corresponding amino acid is attached (by aminoacyl-tRNA synthetases). tRNAs cope with the degeneracy of the genetic code in two manners: having more than one tRNA (with a specific anti-codon) for a particular amino acid; and 'wobble' base-pairing, i.e. permitting non-standard base-pairing at the 3rd anti-codon position. The record is from RNAcentral. RNAcentral also lists the same sequence under 2 other names. Lineage: Eukaryota; Metazoa; Chordata; Mammalia; Carnivora; Canidae.